This 253-nucleotide ribosomal RNA is filed under the name uncultured bacterium. RNAcentral describes it as "partial 16S ribosomal RNA". It matches the Rfam family "Bacterial small subunit ribosomal RNA", at positions 524 to 776 of the family's 1533-position model. The record is from RNAcentral.
UACGGAGGGUGCAAGCGUUGUCCGGAAUUACUGGGCGUAAAGGGCGCGUAGGCGGGUGUUUAAGUCAGAGGUUAAAUCCCAGGGCUCAACCCUGGAACUGCCUUUGAUACUGGGCACCUAGAGUUCGGGAGAGGUGUGUGGAACUCCGAGUGUAGAGGUGAAAUUCGUAGAUAUUCGGAAGAACACCAGUGGCGAAGGCGACACACUGGCCCGAUACUGACGCUGAGGCGCGAAAGCGUGGGGAGCAAACAGG